UUACUUUUAUUAUCAAUCAUCAUCAUCAUUAUUUAUUAUUAGUAUUUUUUUUAAAUAAAAAGGACCCCCCUCACUUCUCCCUCACGCGAGACCCCUCCGUUUUCUGCUUCCUCGUCGCCUCUCUACUAUCUUAUCGCCGCCGGUCAGACACGUCGCCAGUCGCCCAGCUCUCCAGACUGCUGCUGCCCAAGCCCAAGCUGGUCUCCACCGCCGUUCGCCGUGUAAGCUUCUGCUGAGUCGACUCUCUUCGCUGCUCUCAACCUGCCCAGAUUCAAGCCGUCGACGUCCUCCUCCGCCCAGAUUCGAGCCGCCGACGUCCUCUACCACUAGAUCCGAGCCGAGUCUCUCCUCCGCCGCCCACCGCGUCGCUACCGGCUGCUUCCAGCGCCGCCAGCCUUGUUCGUCGCCAGGACCCACUUACACCACUAGACUUGUGCUUUGAAUCCAAGAUUGGAGUACUUCGGAGUGCGCAGCGUGCUGUUUAGCGGAUUCGAGUUCGUUCGGCAAGUAUUUUUAUUUCUCGAAGGUUCCAAGUCGUCAUCCUUUGGGUUCUAAAAUCUGCUAAGAGGAAAUUUUGAGUCGAAAUCUCGCGAGUGUUGGUUGAUCAAGUUUCGUUGGGGGACUUAGUUCAGGGGUUUUUGUAGCUUGGAUUAAAAAUCGGAAUUUGAUUUCGAGGACACGACACCUAAACAUAAAACAAGGAAAACAGUUAGAGAAGAAAUACAAGCAGAGAGAGAGGGGAGUAAUCAAACUGCUCCGGCGGCACCAAUUCCACCUAUGACCCAAGUGGAUGAAAAGGAAAUGGAAGCCCAAAUUAGUGAAGCUGUUGCAAUCGCUCUGGUGGGGAAGCUGCAGGAACUGAUCCGUAGCAAGAUGGCAGGACAGCCUGCCCAGAUUCAGGCUCAGGAGGAACCGGUGCCACCUGAGCCGUUACGACAAACCCUUCCGCAGGACAAGGUCACGUAGAGCCUGUCUCUCGAGGCCAAACAUUUAAGGGAUUUCCGGAAGUAUGACCCUCGCCCCUUUGAUGGAUCGUUAGGAGACCUCACCAAGGCAGAGCUGUGGUUGUCAUCCAUUGAGACAAUUUUUCGUUUUAUGAGGUGCCCGGAAGAGCAUAAACUGCAAUGCGUAGUCUUCAUGUUGACUGGUAACGUGGCAAUCUGGUGGCGUUCGGCAUAAAAGAUGAUCGAUAUUGGAGGUGACCUUGCAACCUGGGAACAGUUCAAGGAACGUUUUUAUGAGAAGUACUUUUCGGCCAACACCCGAUACAAUAAGCAGGCAGAAUUCUAGAACCUGAAGCAGGGCGUUAUGUUAGUGGAGGAGUACGAGUAAGAAUUUGAUAAGUUGUCUCAGUUUACUCUUGAGCUAGUGACCACCGAGGCAGCGAGGAUCGAUAGAUUUAUCCAGGGCUUGAGGAGCGGGUUGCGAGGGAUGGGGCAUGCCUUGGAUCUCAAGACAUAUGCCGUGGCACUACGAGCCGCUGUGAAGAUUGAUGCCGACUCCCAGGGGGGAGAGGAAUACAGGAGGUCACUCGGGAUUGGGACCUCCGCAGGGCAGAAAAGGAAGGCUGAGCACAAGACUCUUGAACAUCAGUAGAGGGGUCAGAACACAGUGCAUGCCGUCAGUAGGGACAACAGAGUACCCAAGCUAGGAAUGGCAGGGAGGAUAGACCGAUAUGCACCACUUGCGGUAAGCAACACUGGGGACGUUGUUUAGCUGGCUCUGGGAAUUGUUUCCGAUGUGGCCAGAAGGGUUAUAUGGCAGAUAGAUGCCCAAGGAAGAAUGCGCCUAAGCACAGGAGCCAGCCCGUAGGAUUGUUCUAGGGAGGCCCGAACCGCCAGCAACAGCAGGGAAAGGUAUUUUCUACCACUCGACGUGAGGCCUAGAAGUCAGGCACCGUGGUGACAGACACGCCAUGUUAGACUCAGAACCGUUGCCAUUUGCAUUGUCUAUUUCCACUCCAUCGGGAGAGAUCAUGUUAGCUACAGAAAAGAUAAAGGCAUGUCAAGUAGAGGAUAACCCAUUGAUCAUUGAGUACUUUGAUUUCAAUAGCAAUGACAGUCAUGAAUUAGUUGGUAAGCUCCAAAAGUCGAUGGGUGAUCUCGAAAAGCUUUAUAGAGAAAAAAGUGGUGCAAAUUUUGUUAUUCCAUCUUCUUCUCAUGGUGGCUAUGAGAAGGUCCUAAAAGGUUAGCUGUUUGUUGAUCACUACAUUGAGAAAACACAAUUCAGCUUUCUUGAUUACAUUUCCAGUGGAUUUCAGCUUAAUUUAUGGCCGCUGUAGAUUUUACAGAUUUCAAACAAAUCUUCAUAGACGGCGAAUUUAACUGAAACCGAAAACUAUCAAAAAUGGCGAUCAAAAAUGUCAAAAAAGCCAAUCUCUUGGAUCAUCACUCCCUCAAACACCUACUCGAUGAAUCUGUUUCUGAGAUUGUCACCGGCUGUGGCUAUGUUGAAGACGUGAGAUUGAGUAAUGUUAAAUUGAUUAUGGGCACUUUCAUCAUCAUCAUAGCUUUGGUGGCUCAGUUUUACAAGAAGAAAUUCCCUGAAAAUUGCGAUUUCUUGAUCGGCUGCAUUAUAUUAUACCCUUUUUCUGAAUUGCGUGUUCUUUUUCCCGUUUAGAUCUUCCUAAUAGAUUGAGUUUCAUUUCUUGAUUGAUAUUGAAUUAAAUGGUGGAUGUUUUGAAAUGCAGAAUCACGUUGUACUUUGAAUCUUACGCCAUUUUCUUAGAUUAUUAGGUUUUGAUUUCGUUUAAUGAAAUGAAAAUCAUUGGAUGGUGCCUCUCAUGUGAUCUUCAACUCUGGCAAAUAUGUAGUUUUUAAUGGGAUCUUGCAGUUUAUUGUUUACACCAAGGAGAAGAACGCAAUUUUUGCUAAUAGGAAUAUAUUGUCUCUUGAAGUCUCUUAGCUCAUAUGAAAACCACAAGCGACAUUAGCUGUUUUUCCUUCAGAUCUUAGCCGAAUAUAUGCUCCUAUAGCAUAAUGUUUGAUUGAACUUGUUUCUUUUUCAUUCUAGUGGUGAGCACGAACCCUUGGUAGAGAUAGAUUUGUUGUUAGCUUGUUUAAAAUUUAUUGAGGAUUUGUUUGGAACAACUUUCUAAGUGAAAAAGGACGGUAUAUUUAAGCACUUAGAAACUCGUUUAAAACCGGCUCUAAUCCAUCCUAUUAGACUUCUAGUUUCUUUUCGUCCUUUCAACAAAUUCCACUGAAGCUUUUAAUUUGUCACCUCUUGAUUGCUUUCAUGACUCUAGUGAUAUGAAAAUUCCUGUUUGAGAAGUUAUAGUGUACUUAUUUCUUUUUGGACCAUAUUGGAUUAGAAUGUAACACCCGUUUACGACUCAUGGGUACUAUUCAUUUGUAGUUUAGAUUUGAUUCAAGGUGCUCGAGUUUGUAGGUCGUACUAUGGUAGUUUGUGGGUUAUUCAUGCACUAUGGUAGUCUUUGUGACAACUUUUGAGGUUUGAAGUAUAUUGUGAGCUAAAUUUGUUUAUUGAUUAUGUGUUCUUGAAUAUUCAUUUUUUGGGAAUU
This is a non-coding RNA of Benincasa hispida (wax gourd), 3523 nucleotides long. NCBI's taxonomy places the organism in Eukaryota, Viridiplantae, Streptophyta, Magnoliopsida, Cucurbitales, Cucurbitaceae. The record is from RefSeq and is a predicted model, not a curated record.